This 65-nucleotide transfer RNA is filed under the name Dipodomys ordii (Ord's kangaroo rat). It matches the Rfam family "tRNA". Rfam says of the family: Transfer RNA (tRNA) molecules are approximately 80 nucleotides in length. Their secondary structure includes four short double-helical elements and three loops (D, anti-codon, and T loops). Lineage: Eukaryota; Metazoa; Chordata; Mammalia; Rodentia; Heteromyidae. The record is from Rfam by way of RNAcentral.
GGUAGCUCACUGGUAGAGUGCUUGCCUUGCAUGCAUGAGGCCCUGGGUUCGAUUCCUCAGUACCA